GCAGACACAUUCCAGCCAAACAGCAGCAGACCCUCCCUCCCAGACCCUCCCACCUCCUGGACAGCAUCCAUUUUACAUUCAUUGUGAAGCUGCAUUCUUAGUGAGCUGUCCAGGAGGUGGGAGGGUCUGGGAGGGAGGGUCUGCUGCUGAUUGGCUGGAAUGUGUCUG
Molecule: microRNA precursor, 168 nt
Filed under: Pelobates cultripes (western spadefoot toad)
Lineage: Eukaryota; Metazoa; Chordata; Amphibia; Anura; Pelobatidae
Source: RNAcentral